GGGUGAUUAGCUCAGAUGGUAGAGCAGCUGACUCUUAAUCAGCGGGUCGCAGGUUCGAUUCCUGCAUCACCCACCA
This 76-nucleotide transfer RNA is filed under the name Alphaproteobacteria bacterium. RNAcentral's name for it is "tRNA-Lys". It matches the Rfam family "tRNA". From Rfam's summary of the family: Transfer RNA (tRNA) molecules are approximately 80 nucleotides in length. RNAcentral also lists the same sequence under 2 other names. The record is from RNAcentral. Lineage: Bacteria; Pseudomonadati; Pseudomonadota; Alphaproteobacteria.